Molecule: non-coding RNA, 30 nt
Filed under: Mus musculus (house mouse)
Lineage: Eukaryota; Metazoa; Chordata; Mammalia; Rodentia; Muridae
Source: RNAcentral
UACCACCUUAGUUUCUCUGCAUUCCAAAAU